Nerophis ophidion (straightnose pipefish) is the source of this 1339-nucleotide long non-coding RNA. RefSeq lists it as uncharacterized. The transcript has 2 exons. Lineage: Eukaryota; Metazoa; Chordata; Actinopteri; Syngnathiformes; Syngnathidae. The record is from RefSeq and is a predicted model, not a curated record.
CCCCAGAGUAAUGGACAAGCGGAAAGGGCCAACCAGGGGGUGGAGACCAUGCUGCGCUGUAUGGCUACUCAACAGCCCAACUCCUGGUGCAUGUUCAUCCCAUGGGUGGAGUACUCCUUUAAUUCCAUGACCUGCGCGGCUACUGGUAUGUCCCCUUUUGAAUGCUUGCAGGGUUUUCAACCUCCUUUGUUUCCCUCUCAGGAGAUCAAAGUGGCAGUCCUUUCCACCCGAGCCCACCUGAGAAGAUGCCGCAAAAUGUUGAAGUCUGCCCAGCGGCCUUAUUGAAGGCAUCUGAGAAGAUGCAUCGUAACGCCAACCGGCGGUGCAUCAUGGCUCCCAACUAUCAACCCGGACAGCAGGUGCUGCUACGGGCCAAGGACCUCCACCUCUUGAUAUCCUCUCAGAAGCUAGCACCACGUUUUGUUGGACCUUAUACGGUCAAAUCCAGGGUCAAUCCUGCCUCAGUUUGCCUAGACCUCUCUCGUUCCAUGAGAUCCCACCCGGUGUUCCACGUGUCUCAGGUAAAGCCAGUAACGAACAGUUACUCCUGCCCCCCCUCCACUUAGGAUCCUGGAGAAUGGGGACCAGGUGUGGACUGUGAGGAGGAUUCUCAAGGUCCGACGACAGGAAGGAGGAUGGGUAUACCUCGUGGACUGGGAGGGCUAUAGACCGGAGGAUAGAUCAUGGGUCCCGACUUCUUACAUUGCCGACCCCUCCCUUAUUGAGGACUUCUAUCGAACUCACCCCCUGGCACCCCGAGGCUCGUCGGGAGUCUCGCAUGGAGGCGGGGGGUGCUGUUAUGGGUAAGACUUCCGCUGCUUCUCCCUCUUUUGCACGCCCUCACGAGCGCGUCGCGGACCACGCCCACAAGCGCUCCCUCUCCGUGCGAGCGCGCUUCAGCGCGGCUGCAAACACUCCGCAAUCAACCCACCUGUCCUUGAUGAUCGAUCGGCCUUCAUAAUCCAGCACAAACUUAGACCUGACGCCAGAACAUAGCUUCACGUACGCUAUACACUCCCCGUCGUCAUUCCUCGUUGUUGAAUUGUGUGUCUCAUCAACCUAAAAACCCCCGUGGAUCUUCCCCCGCCUCCCUGGACAUCGACAUCACGCCUGCCUACCAACCAAGACGCCACGCUCCUCCCCUUGAUCCUCCGCCUGUCCUCCGACACUCGAGCCUGCCUUACCCAAAUUGGAAACCUCUGCCUGGAUCAACACGCACCAUCAACACUUUCAGAUCUCCACGCUCAGAUAAGUCUCACACCUAGUACAUUUCAUCUCUUUGGGUUAAUUACACACCACACACACAUUUCUUGUUUCCAAUAAAUACGCUGACAGCUGA